This is a non-coding RNA of Cricetulus griseus (Chinese hamster), 651 nucleotides long. The record is from RefSeq and is a predicted model, not a curated record. Lineage: Eukaryota; Metazoa; Chordata; Mammalia; Rodentia; Cricetidae.
UAUGGACAUCCCGGGCAGCCUCACCUUCUGGACAUUGCUCUUAGCACUAUCCUUUCUAAGAGAAGCUACAGGUUCAAGGGGGGAAGUCUGGAGUCUUCCAGGUUAGGAUGGUGUCAUGUAAUGAAUUCCUCCAAACUGAAACUUUCUAUUUCUGAGGGAAGAUGGGUCAGUCUUGAGAAGUUCUAAGGGAAGGCUCAUUAAGAUGCAGGAAGUUAACAACUGACAAGUAUCGGGAAGUCCCUGAGACUUGUCAGAUGCACAGACCACCCUCCUCCCAGGGAUAUGUAAGCAGUAACGACUGCUAAAAAGAGAUUCUGUAGCCUAUUGAGCUGCCUGCAAAUAGUCUCGGUUCUAGCUUUCACGAGUCAUGGCCCAUGCCAAGGGGGAUUCUGAGUGAUGCAACUGCCUUUGAGUUAUUCCUACUCCUUGUUCCAGGAGUCCCAGAACAGUGACUGAUGACACGGGCAUCUAGCAACUGUCAAAUCCACCGUUGGAAUGGAUGUCUACUUAUCUGCUAAUAUGAUUCCUUGGUGGCUGAGUUUCCUGGCUUUCAUCACUGUAAUCGAUUCAGCUUCAUUUGGAAGUUUUACAGUCUCUGCAGCACUUUCCACAGUUGGGAGAUAAAUAGCAAUUAAAAACUCUUAGGCUGUC